UAUUCUUGAUAGUAAAUGUAUUGUUUGAUAUGCCUGAAUAUUAUGAAUAAAGAUUUAAAAAUUAAAGAACUUGGCGGUGUUUUAUACUUUUUAGGGGAAUUUGUCUCAUGAUCGAUGGUCCACGUUAGACCUUACUUUAUAUUGUAAACAGUUUGUAUACCGUCGUCGUCAGGUAACUUUUUAGAAUUGUAUAAGUUAGCAAGAGUUAAAUAAAAUAUUUAUGACGUUAGAUCAAGGUGCAGCUUAUAUAAAAGGGAGGAUGAAUUACAUUUAUUUAUUGUAUUGCGGAAAAUAAUGUGAAAGAGUUAUUUGAAGGUGGACUUAAAAGUAAAAAUAUGUUUAUAUAAAUGUUUUGAAUCAAGCUCUGAAAUGUGUACACACCGCCCGUCACCCUCA
This 396-nucleotide ribosomal RNA is filed under the name Tropidophora unicarinata. Its description in RNAcentral is "partial 12S ribosomal RNA". The record is from RNAcentral. Lineage: Eukaryota; Metazoa; Mollusca; Gastropoda; Littorinimorpha; Pomatiidae.